RNAcentral lists this ribosomal RNA (433 nucleotides) under uncultured bacterium. RNAcentral describes it as "partial 16S ribosomal RNA". It matches the Rfam family "Bacterial small subunit ribosomal RNA", at positions 29 to 507 of the family's 1533-position model. The record is from RNAcentral.
AGCGAACGCUGGCGGCAGGCCUAACACAUGCAAGUCGAACGAACUCUUCGGAGUUAGUGGCGGACGGGUGCGUAACACGUGGGAACGUGCCUUUUGGUUCGGAAUAACUCAGGGAAACUUGUGCUAAUACCGAAUGUGCUCUUCGGGGGAAAGAUUUAUCGCCAUUAGAUCGGCCCGCGUCGGAUUAGCUAGUUGGUGAGGUAACGGCCCACCAAGGCGACGAUCAGUAGCUGGUCUGAGAGGAUGACCAGCCACACUGGGACUGAGACACGGCCCAGACUCCUACGGGAGGCAGCAGUGGGGAAUCUUGCGCAAUGGGCGAAAGCCUGACGCAGCCAUGCCGCGUGAAUGAUGAAGGUCUUAGGAUUGUAAAAUUCUUUCACCGGGGACGAUAAUGACGGUACCCGGAGAAGAAGCCCCGGCUAACUUCGUG